Molecule: long non-coding RNA, 1072 nt
Filed under: Callithrix jacchus (white-tufted-ear marmoset)
Lineage: Eukaryota; Metazoa; Chordata; Mammalia; Primates; Cebidae
Description: lncRNA (ENSCJAG00000083677.1)
Source: RNAcentral
UUUUAAUUUAAUUCAUAUUGUUGCAUACAUCAGUAGUUUGUUUUUGCUUAUAGCUCAGUUAUCUCUUUGCUGAGCUUCUCAUGUAGAUAUUCACGAUGAUUUAUCUAUCUACCUACUAAUGGAUGUGUUUGUCUUCUUUCUAGCUUUUGACUAUUAUAAACAUCCAGAACAGUGAUUGCUUGAUCCUAUGAUAAAUGUGUUUAACUUUGGAAGAAACUGCCAAAACCCCUUUUCAAAGUGCCAAAGUUUCUCUACCAUUUUACACUCCCAUCAGAAUUGUAUGUGAGUUUCAGUUGAACUGAAUUUCACAGCAACUGUAAUUACUUGAUAGUAUUAUUAUUUAUGUCUUUUUAGUGUCUGUGGGAUCAGUAGUGAUGCCUUAUUUUCAUCCCUGGUAUACAGGAAGCUUGUGAUUUCUGCAUAUUGAUUUUGUAUCCUGAGACUUUGCUGAAGUUGCUUAUCUGUUUAAGGAGAUUUGGAACUGAGAUGAUGGAGUCUUCUAAAUAUACAAUCAUGUCAUCUACAAAGAGUGGAAAAUCCAACAAAACCUGGAGUCCUGCUUACUUCUUACUGUUCCUUGUUGCAUGGCUUACUCUCUCCCUGAAAAGAAAACUGGUGAUUUCAGUCUUUGAAGUCUGUUACAUAUUUCACAAUUACAACACAGCUCAAGUUAAGUACAAAAUUUUUACUGAAGCUUUUCAUCUAUAUUUAGAUUUUGUAGAAUAUAUAGUUGAAAACAUGGAUGUCUACACUCAAAUUGAUGCAAGCCAACCUAAAUGUGUUAUAACUAAAUAGAAUGUUAACUUUCACAUCUAAAAUGUAAUUGAUAAAAAUUAAGUAAAAUGAAAAAUUUAGUUAUUCAGUGUCCCUAACUAAAUUUUAAUCUCUCAAAAGCCACAUAUAGUCUAUGGCAACCGAAAAACAGGUACAGAACAUUUCCACUGUUGCAAAUUGGCUCCUACUCACUCGUUAAGUAGUUUUGUUAUAUUAGCUUCUUAGCUUAUUCUGUCUCUGAUCUUUCGUAAUAAUUUCCUCUCUCCAUAUGGCAAUAUUCCCAAUUCCAUUCUUACCC